UCGAACGUGGUGCACGGUGCACGCCUGCAGAAAAUAAUUUGGGAUCUCGCCUGCUCAACUAAGGCCGGAAGUUCGGGUUCGACUCCCGGCGUUCGAA
Non-coding RNA from Mycena metata, 97 nucleotides. The record is from the annotation of a GenBank genome assembly. Lineage: Eukaryota; Fungi; Basidiomycota; Agaricomycetes; Agaricales; Mycenaceae.